This 481-nucleotide long non-coding RNA is filed under the name Dermacentor andersoni. RNAcentral's name for it is "uncharacterized LOC126532379". Lineage: Eukaryota; Metazoa; Arthropoda; Arachnida; Ixodida; Ixodidae. The record is from RNAcentral.
UGAAUGGCCUUUUCUUUUUCCUUCGACAAUGCCUUCGCCUAGCCACAGCAGCUCCCUCAUACAGACUCCGCAAGCCAAGAGGCCGUGGAGGCAAAUGCAGACAGCCAGCACACCUCGAACAGCCACCUUGACUGCGGGUGUGUCACCCUAGUCGCCAAGGAAACAUUUGAGGGAAAGCGACAGGCAAUGUGAACAGCCACUUCUCCAUGUAAACGAUACUCUUUCUCGCGGAUGACUCCUACGUUCGCCACGCCAGCACACUUGUGCACAAAGAUGCCGCGGAGGCACGUGCAGGUCAGAGGCAAGAAGCAGUGGCACUGGUGUCGACAUUCGCCCAAUUUCUUUUUCUUGCACUGAGGCAGCCAGGACACCUCGAACAGCCACCUUAACUGCGGGUGCGUUAGUAGAUUCCUGUUGUACAUAUGCUCAUAAUAAACUCCAGUAAACUUGAACUUGAUAAUAAACUUGAAGGCAAAUGGGA